This 1320-nucleotide long non-coding RNA is filed under the name Equus caballus (horse). RNAcentral describes it as "lncRNA (ENSECAG00000043037.2)". The record is from RNAcentral. Lineage: Eukaryota; Metazoa; Chordata; Mammalia; Perissodactyla; Equidae.
UCUAUCUGUAAAGUUGCCUCCCUCUCUGUACCAGGAAGAAGAAAGGAGAUGACCUUCUCUCUAAAAACUCUUAAUCAAUACCAAAGACAAGGACUUAAAAUCUGCAUUUUAUUGUGCUACUCUGGUAACCUCCUGGAGCUAACUUCCCUCCCCCUCCCAACGCUGGCAUUUCUUAAUGAUUAAACAUCUUUCCUUAGGCUAGGAACUGAUUGCUGAGCUCACCUGUGACCGCCCAGCUCCAGACAAUCGACUUGCCUCCAGCUACGCCCUCUGAGACAGCAGACCACUACCUGCUGUGUCCAUCAAGCACUGUGCCGACAGGGCAAUCUUGUGACUAUUGCGGGAGGGACAUUUCAAUCACAUGUGAAACACCCCGUUUGGGGGUAUAUAACCACUCUGGCACCCCACUUCUUGGGUGCCCUUUCUUCCUUCGGGAAGAAAGGCCCCGGGCCAUGGUUCCUCAUAAAGCUUUGUUUAAUUUUCUCUUGCUAUUCUGUCUCAUGUGAAUUUAAUUCGUUCUCCAGCCAGACGAACCCCUAUUUGGGGAGAAGAAAUGUCCUCCUCCCCUACAGUUUUGGCGUAGUUGGCAGGCUGAAAUUUCCCUGGCUUAACACUGCUUGCUCCUAGACUGCUGCGGCUGAGAGAUCCCAGACCCCUGACGAGAGCCGGCAAGAGAUCUCAGAAGUGCUCCAGACACCCGUGGGAAACUCCAAAAGUUGGUGAUCCGUCCUGCUACCAGUCCCGCACAGCUACGAGUGGCUGCACGGAGGGUGCUCCAUAACCGGCUUGAAGCUGAGGAUGCAAAGGAAGACAAGAUGAUGAAAAGGCAGGCCGCCCUGCUCGCUGUGGCCCACCAGUCUCCUCAAGGAUACAGCAGCCCCUGAGAAGCGAGAGAUUCCCCUACAUGAUUCAAGCAGGGCUAACUCGGAACUAUGGGCCCAAGGACAGGUGGAGUGAGCAGCCGGUGCCACGCCAGGAAAGGUAAAACGGAAGCAGGACCUUGAAACCUCCCUCCAUAAGUUAUUCAGAUCAAAAUUCUCCCUGGAACCUCCUGAGUUGGCUGAGAACAGAGCAGCAAAGUCCACAGCAUUCUCCAAAGUUAGAGGAAGAUUAGCCCUGAGCUAACAUCUGCUGCCAAUCCUCUUUUUGCUAAGGAAGACUGGCCUUGAGCUAACAUCUGUGUCCAUCUUCCUCUACUUUAUAUGUGGGACGUCUGCCAUAGAAUGGCCUGCCAAGUGGUCCCAUGUCUGCACUGGGGAUCCAAACUCGUGAAGCCUGGGCCACUGAAGUGGAACGUGUGAACUUCACUGUUGUGCCACU